UGGAAAUGAUGUAUUUGAGAAAUUGACUCUGUAUGACAAUGUAAAAGGUCAUCAACUUAAUUUUUCCCCAAAGUUGGCUGGCUUUAAAACAACCUGUAUUACUUGUGUGUGUGUGUGUGUGUGUGUGUGUGUAUGUCCCCUGAGCCCUGCUAAAUGCCUCCUA
RNAcentral lists this small RNA (163 nucleotides) under Marmota monax (woodchuck). The record is from RNAcentral. Lineage: Eukaryota; Metazoa; Chordata; Mammalia; Rodentia; Sciuridae.